RNAcentral lists this unclassified non-coding RNA (250 nucleotides) under Xylariaceae sp. Its description in RNAcentral is "partial contains 5.8S ribosomal RNA, internal transcribed spacer 2, and large subunit ribosomal RNA". Lineage: Eukaryota; Fungi; Ascomycota; Sordariomycetes; Xylariales; Xylariaceae. The record is from RNAcentral.
CGCACAUUGCGCCCAUUAGUAUUCUAGUGGGCAUGCCUGUUCGAGCGUCAUUAAGUCCAUUAAGCCCUGUUGCUUAUCGUUGGGAGCCUGCUGGCGUAGCCUGCAGCUCCUCAAAAUUAGUGGCGGAGUUAGCGUAUACUCUAGGCGUAGUAAUUUCAACUCGCUUCUGUGGUUGCACUGGCGCCUGCCGUAAAACCCCCAAUUUUAAAGGUUUGACCUCGGAUCAGGUAGGAAUACCCGCUGAACUUAA